Molecule: long non-coding RNA, 1102 nt
Organism: Marmota monax (woodchuck)
Lineage: Eukaryota; Metazoa; Chordata; Mammalia; Rodentia; Sciuridae
Exons: 3
Source: RefSeq, a predicted model, not a curated record
GAGAGUUUGCAAUCCUCCUGCCUCAGCCUCCUGCAUUGCUGGGACUAUAGGUGCACUACUGUACCCAGCUGUUUUCUACUAGAAUAAGCAUUAAUUACUUUUGUAAUUAGAUUUAAAAAAAAUUUUCCCCAACAAUUGUAGAGUGAUAGACUUGGAGAAUUCCAGGAGAGUAUGUUCUGUCUACCCACUUUAUUUUAAGAAGAGAAACUGAGAGGCUAAACAAUGAAAUGACUCACCAAAGUUCCCAAACUGGGUCAGGGGCUUUUUGAUGUCUCCACCAGGGAGUGUUUGGCUAGCAUUGGUGCUUUUCACCCAGAAUGCUACACCUCAGUUAUUUAUUCAAUAAUAAAUUCUCUCAGUCACAGUGAAAGAAAGCUUCCUCCUGUGGGUGACUCUAGUCCACUGGGUUGCUCUGUGCUGCUGAGUCCAGAUUCUGCCACCACUGAGUUGAUGGCGUCUGCCUGAAGUGCAUGGAGGAAGGGAUAAGAUGGAGAAAGUCCUCUUUUCCAGAGGGGUCUUGCUAAGUUGCUGAAGCUGGCUUCAAACUUGUGUUCCUCCUGCUUUCACCUGCCAAGUUUCUGGGAUUACAGAAUGAUCCCCAUCACCACAGCUCACCCUGCGUCCGAACUCUUGCCCUUGCUUCACUUCCCGAGGGUAGCCGUCAAUCAAGAAGCCCUUGGUGUUGCUGAGGCUGGCCACCAUAGCCUCCUUCAGGAGCUCCAGAACGAUGCCCUGGAGCAGGGAGAGAAUGGUCAGACCCGAGAUGAACAGCCCUAGAAUUCCCAGAGUCUCCUUCAGUCGAGGGAGGAAGGUUCAGACAAGAUCAACUGUAGACAGCAACAUCCCAUAUUUUAUCAAUUCCUAGUCUCACUCCCUGUACACAUAUUUUAAUGUCUAUUAAAUGGGUAGGUAUCUUAAAAUCAGUGUGCUGGGUCAUAGCAUAAUGGUUAGCUUUUUUUUUCCCCUUUCUUUUUCUUACUAGUGCAUUCUUACUUUUAUAUUCAACUCGGGGGUCUUAAAACAAUGAUAUCUUAGAGUACAUGAACUAUAGUAGCCCUACUUCAAAUGGCAGCACUCUACGCAUUAGGAAAUCAUGGUAAUU